CCAACCAGCUCAAAUACUUUUUAAUACAUUGAAAAUGUAAAAUAAAGCAUAUACGAAGUACAUACAGUAUAUAUAUAUACACAUAUUUCAAAUACUUAAAAUUCUUAUGUAAAAUAUGAUUUUUUUUCUAUAUUAUUUGUGUAAAAAUACAUUUUCAAAUGGUGUCACCUCGAUUUUGCUGUACAGACCCUCAAGCCCAAUCGAAGUCCCUUUUAAAAAGGCAAAAGACAAAGGUUUAGGAUUUUUGGAACUGUGUUUACAGGCCUGUUGUCCACACAGGAAAAGCCUCUGGGAAACAGUAUUGGAUUGCUUCUUUAUGAGAAUUCCCAUUUUUAUUGCAUUAAUGGCAGGAAACCUUUUCAGUUGUGCUGCAGUAAUCCCGCUGGCCUGGCCGAGGAACUGUCCCCGGUACCCUGUCACCAAGCUGGGAACCCCUCCUCUGUCCCCUCUUCUCAGCUACUAAAAUAUAUAUUACUGUAAAUAUAUUACUGUAAAUAUAUUACUGGGAAUAUAUUACUGGGAAUAUAUUACUGGGAAUAUAUUCCACUCGCUCGGCACCAACAGCAAACGGAAGCAUUAAAAACAGCCCAGGGCCGAGAGCCCGCGGGGACACUCCUGCUCCUGGCCUGGGGACACACGGGGGACACAUGGGGGACACACGGGUGACACAUGGGUGACACAUGGGUGACACAUGAGUGGCACACAGGUAACACACAGGUGACACACGGGUGACACACAGGUGACACUCAGGUGACACACAGGUGACACACAGGUGACACACAGGUGACACACAGGUGACACCAGGUGUGCUCAUCACAGGGACCCUCCCACAUUCCCGCUGUGGGAACCCCGGCACCGGAACCAUCGGACGGAGCCCCCUGGACGAGAGAAGCCCCAAAGCCGCUCUGAUCCACCCUCCUGCCCCGGGUGCUCUCUGCUGCCUCCCCCCCAGGAUCCCCCAAGGAUCCCCCCAGGAUCCCCCCGAGGAUCCCCCCGAGGAUCCCCCUGAGGAUCCCCCCAGGAUCCCCCCGAGGAUCCCCCCCAUAAGGACCUGACCAGGAACUGCUGCUCCAGCAGCUGUUUUGUGCAACCAGAAAAAAAAAAAAAAUCCAACUCCCCAAACCAGUGCAACUGCUUGGAACCUCCUCUUUCCUGUAAAUUCCAGGAGGGAAAGCAAAAUUCCACACCAAAUUCCUUCCCUUGCUGCCCACCUGGCUCAAAUCCUGCGCCUCCCGAGCCACAGCCUGUCCGUGGGGUUUGGGGCUGGGAAGUGAAUUCCAGUUCUGUGUCCUGGAAAGGGAAACUGAAGCCUCCUCCUCCUCCUCCCUCCCCGGGCUCCUUUCCCUGCCACAAACACUCCGACACCAGGCUUUGGAAAUCCUGCAUUUCUGAUGCCGCCGUUCCCUGCAGCGCUGUUCAAUUCAUUCCUGGGGGAGCGAAGUCUAAUGGAUCACGACAUCCCCUCCCCGUGGAUCCCGUCUGGGGGUGGAUUCACUGGCUGUGGGAAGGAGCCUCAGCCGUGGCACGGGCUGAUCCCACCCCCAGAACUCCACAGGAUUCCCCCUCCCAAAACCAUCAUCCCACACCCAGCUGCAGCCAAACUUCCAGGGCUUUAUCCCUGCUCCAGGGAGUGCUUGCAGGGAUUGUCACACCGAGCCCGUUAUCCUGAACGAUUUCCUCACGCUCAGAGAUGCUCCCCCAGGCUGCACCUCAGAGCACGCUAAGAACUGAUUUCCUUAAAAAGAAACGGAAAGAGAAGUAGCCCAAGCCAAGUGUUGAUCCAUGAAAUGGAACUAAGGCACUGACAGGUGUAAAAUCCCGAGCCAGCAGCACAAUCCCACCCGGGGCCGCUCCGUGUCCAGGGUCCCCGGCUGUGCCAGCCCCUCCUGGGCCACACGGAGCCGUGGGAUGGCUCCAGAACAGCAAACCCAGGCCGUGCUCCGCAGGAACAGCCGGCAAAUCCCACAGGAGGAACCGGCUGCGGCCACAGGCGGCCGGUGACGCUUUGGGAAGGGCCAGGGAGCUCUGCAAGAGCAUUUCCAGCAGCAGCUGCAGCAGCCGAACCCUCCGAGUGCUCAGGGUCACAGCUCCCUCCUCAUCCUCUGCUUCCCCCUCUCCAGCAGCCUGGAAAAACACCCUGAGAGGAGCCCAGGAGAGACAGAACUGUCCAAGGGUGCAGUGAAAGCUCUGGCUCCUCUCAAGCCUCCAUCUGUGCUGUGUAACCAGCACCGAGCUGCCCUCGGCCUCUCCCGGGCUGUCCCAGCCAGGAAUGGAAGUUCUGCCAGGACUGUGGGAAGGAAUUUCCCUCCUGUCAAGGUGAGGCCUGAGGGAGAAAGGGACAGAUCCUGCUCUCAGCUCCAAACCAGCCCGCACUGCCUCCCCAGCUUUACAAAAAUACAGGAUCUCCUCUUCCUGAACAAGAGGGAAUGGCAGGAACAGGCACAGCCCGGGGGUUCUUGGGCUACCACCACCACCAGUACGGGUGUGAGACGCUCGUAGGGACAAUUUUGUGCAACUUCUUACAUUUAAAAAAUGGAGUGAAUUUCUAAUCCCUAAAUCCUCCUCACCACGGGAUGCUGGAGCAGCGAUGUGGAAUCUCGGCAGUGGGGGUCACUGCUCUGCAGCAGAUUUGAGAUGACACAACCCAGAUGCUGCAGCUCCUGCUGCUCCCUGGGCAGGGAAGGAAACGCUCCCUGCUACCACGGGAUCAAGUCUGCAACUCCCUUUUCCUUGUCAUCACCAACUAAACCACACGGUCAUGGAAUAUCCUGUGCUGGAAAGGAUCCACAGGGAUCAUCCAGUCCAAUUCCUGACCCUGCACAGAAACCCCAACAAUCCCACCCUGUGCCUGAGAGCACUGUCCAAAGGCUCCUGGAGCUCUGGCAGCCUCGGGCACCGCUUGUUCCUUGGAAAAGCUCCCAGGGAAUUAUUUCUGCUCCUCACCACCAGUGCCGGGCUCCCGGGGAGAAGGGGAGGGGAGCAGUAGUACAAAGGAGAGGGGAAGGGAAGGCUGAGGACCCCGUGCACCACUCAGCUCUGGGAAUAUUGCUUCAGCUUAAAAAGGCCUUUGGAUUAAAAGUGAAUUCAGUGCUUUUCCAUCAAAAAACAUACAUAGCUCUGUUCCCUGACCAGGAUGCAGCAAGGCCCCCGCCCGCCCCAGGAGGGGAACAGCCCUCGAGUGACUCUGCUCCAUCAGCCCAGGAACACGGGGCCACUGUGCUUUGAUUUCCUGCAGCCCAAGGGAAGGAAUCCAGGAACUGUCAGGGAACACAGGUGCCACCAGCUGUCCCCAGCCAGCUCUGAGGGGCUGUCCCAGCACCCCUCCCUCAGCUGGGCCCAAGCUGAGCUGAGCUCAGCCCAAUUUGGUACUUCAAACACAAAGAGCCACCCAGCAAGGCCCAGGCAGACACUCAUUUGCCUUUCCCUACACCCAGGAAAUAUAAAAUCUUGGAUAGAAAGUGGAGAUGUCCGACCAUGGGGGCGUUUGGAUGAGCACAAAACGCUUCCCAGAGCUUGGCAGGACUUGGGGUGACGCUCUGUGCCCUUCACCUGUCCCCGUGUGCCAAGAGCAGCCGGCUCUGGGCCGUGGGAUGGCAGCUCCCAGCUCCUGGGGAUGGCCAGGAGAGCAGAUCCCUGCGGAGCUGUGUGACCCUGAUCCCGCUGGCACUGCCAUGGUCAGCACAGCUCCUCGCAGUUCCACGGCCGGACACCUCCCCCGGCUCCGGGAGAGGGGGAUCUGCAGGGCUGGAACACCGGCCCGUAUUGCACAGCCCUGGAGCCUCCUGGAACGGGCAGCUCACCGGGAAAGGCAAGGGAGCAUCGCCAGAGCCUCCCAGUUCCCAGGGAUCUGAACUGGGAGCAGCCGAGGGAGGAGCUCAGGGCUCCUGGCUCGGUGCUCCAUCACCACACAUGGCUGGACUCGGAUUAUCCCAUUCCCUCUGCCAGGAGAACGGGCUAUGGGCUGGAUCCCCCCGGCACAGCAGAGCUCAGCAAACGUGCUCAGAGCAGGCUGGGGUUACUGGAACUGCAGUACAAGUCAAACACUAUCUCCUAAAAGACUGAAAAAAUAUCUUUAAACAAAAUAAUGUGGCAUAUUUACAUAAUUCCUUAAGUGCAAACUCUUGUCACAAUUCACGUAGUCGAGCGCGAUUUCGACUCCCUGUACAAGAAGGUGCUCUUUCGUUAAUGAAAGAAGGACUCUAACUCUGUAUUCCUGAUUCAGUAACGUGUCU
Poecile atricapillus (Black-capped chickadee) is the source of this 4232-nucleotide long non-coding RNA. RefSeq lists it as uncharacterized. The record is from RefSeq and is a predicted model, not a curated record. Lineage: Eukaryota; Metazoa; Chordata; Aves; Passeriformes; Paridae. The transcript has 2 exons.